CCGAGCGGUAUAGAUCUUUCGGGAUCUAGAGAGCGGCGCACGGGUGCGGAACACGUGUGCAACCUACCUUUAUCAGGGGGAUAGCCUUUCGAAAGGAAAAUUAAUACCCCAUAAUAUAUUUGAUGGCAUCAUUAGAUAUUGAAAACUCCGGUGGAUAGAGAUGGGCACGCGCAAGAUUAGAUAGUUGGUGAGGUAACGGCUCACCAAGUCAAUGAUCUUUAGGGGGCCUGAGAGGGUGAUCCCCCACACUGGUACUGAGACACGGACCAGACUCCUACGGGAGGCAGCAGUGAGGAAUAUUGGACAAUGGGUGAGAGCCUGAUCCAGCCAUCCCGCGUGAAGGAUGACGGCCCUAUGGGUUGUAAACUUCUUUUGUAUAGGAUAAACCUACCCUCGUGAGGGUAGCUGAAGGUACUAUACGAAUAAGCACCGGCUAACUCCGUGCCAGCAGCCGCGGUAAUACGGAGGGUGCAAGCGUUAUCCGGAUUUAUUGGGUUUAAAGGGUCCGUAGGCGGACUCGUAAGUCAGUGGUGAAAUCUCAUAGCUUAACUAUGAAACUGCCAUUGAUACUGCGGGUCUUGAGUAAGGUAGAGGUAGCUGGAAUAGUAGUGUAGCGGUGAAAUGCAUAGAUAUUACUUAGAACACCAAUUGCGAAGGCAGGUUACCAUGUCUUAACUGACGCUGAUGGACGAAAGCGUGGGGAGCGAACAGGAUUAGAUACCCUGGUAGUCCACGCCGUAAACGAUGCUAACUCGUUUUUGGGUUUUCGGAUUCAGAGACUAAGCGAAAGUGAUAAGUUAGCCACCUGGGGAGUACGAACGCAAGUUUGAAACUCAAAGGAAUUGACGGGGGCCCGCACAAGCGGUGGAUUAUGUGGUUUAAUUCGAUGAUACGCGAGGAACCUUACCAAGGCUUAAAUGGGGAAA
RNAcentral lists this ribosomal RNA (926 nucleotides) under Chryseobacterium proteolyticum. Its description in RNAcentral is "bacterial SSU rRNA". It matches the Rfam family "Bacterial small subunit ribosomal RNA", at positions 62 to 993 of the family's 1533-position model. The record is from RNAcentral. Lineage: Bacteria; Pseudomonadati; Bacteroidota; Flavobacteriia; Flavobacteriales; Weeksellaceae.